RNA transcript from Vicia villosa (hairy vetch), 4447 nucleotides. It is a transcript of the gene named mitochondrial uncoupling protein 3, with no coding region annotated. NCBI's taxonomy places the organism in Eukaryota, Viridiplantae, Streptophyta, Magnoliopsida, Fabales, Fabaceae. The transcript is spliced from 3 exons. The record is from RefSeq and is a predicted model, not a curated record.
AUUAACAUUCGCAUAACUAUAAAGUAUCGCUCCUCUUCUUCUCGCUUCCCGCUCCCUACAUCAAUAUCGGUGACCGAUUCAUGUAACGUGAAAAUUCCAAUUGCCAAUGAUUCUUCUCGUCGACGACGACACAACUGAACGAGCAUGCAUAACUUGAACUGUAUCAUCCUCCUCAACGCCUUCGAAUAUCGAGUGUGUAGGAAUCAUGAGAUUUUGGAGAUAGAAUCUGACUGUGCAUAGUAGUCGAUCUGAGACCUUGAGAGGAGCAGAGUCUCAGGACCAAACCUUCACCACUAGGCCAGCCCCUGGGUAUGUGGGCUCCUUGAGUUGAUUGUAAUAGAGUAUCAGCAGGUUUUGGCUGGUUGAAUCUUUCUUGUAUGUACCCAUGAAAUCGGGCUAUCAACAUGGUGGAGUUGAAAAUACUCACACCAAGAUUUUACUAACAUCGUUGUCGGCAAUGGCGGCCGAGUCCACUACUUUCCCCAUAGAUUUGAUCAAGACCAGGCUCCAACUCCAUGGCGAGUCACUUUCCUCAAGCCGUCCAACCGGUGCAUUUCGGAUAGGCUUAGACAUUAUUCGCGAACAAGGUUUUCUUGGCCUUUAUAAGGGCUUGUCUCCAGCAAUUUUAAGACACUUAUUCUACACACCUAUUAGAAUUGUUGGGUAUGAGCACCUGAGGAGUGUUGUUUUUGCUGACUAUGGGUCAUCCUCUAUUAUUGGCAAGGCUGUUGUUGGUGGAAUCUCUGGUAGUAUGGCUCAGGUUAUUGCAAGCCCAGCUGAUCUUGUCAAGGUGAGGAUGCAAGCUGAUAGUCAAAUGAUGAGCAGGGGUCUUCCGCCUCGCUAUUCAGGGCCAUUUGAUGCUUUUAACAAAAUCAUUCAAGCGGAAGGGUUUCAAGGACUGUGGAAGGGUGUUUUCCCUAAUAUCCAAAGAGCCUUCUUAGUCAACAUGGGGGAAUUAGCUUGUUAUGAUCAUGCUAAGCAAUUUGUUAUUACAAGCAGGAUAGCGGAGGAUAAUGUUUAUGCCCAUACAUUAGCUUCUAUCAUGUCAGGUCUAGCGGCAACUUCUUUAAGUUGUCCAGCGGACGUUGUCAAGACUAGAAUGAUGAAUCAGGCAGCUAAAAAGGAAGGAAAUGUCUUAUAUAGAAGCUCCUAUGAUUGCUUGGUAAAGACAGUUCAAGUUGAAGGAAUAAGAGCACUUUGGAAAGGGUUCUUCCCCACAUGGGCGAGGCUUGGUCCGUGGCAAUUUGUGUUCUGGGUUUCCUAUGAGAAGUUUAGAAAGUUUGCCGGGCUAUCUUCUUUCUAGGAUAUUAUUUUGAUUUAUGCUGUAAAAUCUUCAUUCAAGAUAAAGUGACAGUUCACAGCCUCAAGAUUAAUAGCCUGUUUGUUUGCUACUGGAAAUCUAGUUUGAAGAAAGAAGAAAGUUUCUUGUUGGAAAAAUAACCUCAGGAGGAUGAUACUUGUACAAUUUGUGACAAUGGGAUUCCAAUACAAACAGAUGGAAAAAUAAUCGGUUUAAUUGAUUGAUUUAAUCGACAAUUAUAUUAAAAUUAAAUAAUAUUUCACAUUUUUGUCACAUUAUGCAAUGCUGUAUUUGGAUUAAUUCUUUCAACUGUUUCUUUCACUUAUAGUUAAAUUAACAACUAUGAUAUGGCUUGUGCAAGUCGAUGUUGAUAGUGGUAUUGUACCCUUGAAAUGCUAUAUAUAGCUGCUUUAUAUACCUUCUACUUGGAAGAUCUUAUUUGAAUGAUGUAAUUUAAUGAACAAUACUGUUUGACUAAUGAAAUCCUAUAAAAUGUGUAAGGAACUCAAAUAGCUAAAACUCAUUAUCAGUUAAUUUACAUGUGUCAAAAGGGAUGUUAUACUUGUCCAUAUAUUGUGCUUAAUCCAAAGCCCAAACCUGCGUCAAGAAUAAGUGAGGAAAUUAAGUUACUGGAAAGAUGAAAAAGAAUCUGGUUAGUUUGUGAUAUCAUGACUUUUAAUAUGAUCAGGGUCUAACCUGGAUCUUUCCAUCAGAGGAACCAACAAAAAGCAUCAUGCCAUCAGCAUCUGACACUAAUGAUGUAAUUUUUGUGUGACCACCAGCCAUUUUGAUGGAAGCUACCCGGGUGAACUUAUCUUUUAACCAAACUUCAAUGGUGCCAAACUUUGUACCAGCAAAUAUGAAGUCACUGUUGAUGGCUACACGAUGGAUAUCGAGUCCAGUUGAGAGUGAUCCCACCACCAUUUUGGAGGUUAGUGAAAAUAUCUUAUACAUCAAAUAAAAAAAAAGUUAGUUUUGCGAGAAAUAUGCAUUUAUUUGUAAUGACAAUAACGUUGGAACAGAACAAGAACUGUCAUAUACCUUUCCCGCAGUUGCAUCAACAGAAGAACCACAAGCAAAGAGGAAAUCGCCAUGAAUUUGAAGGGAGUGUAUGGUUUGUUUUCCCAACAAUUUUCUUGUACCAGUGAAGAAUGAAGUUGAUGUAUAUUGGGACAAGUUAACCUCCUGUCAUUAUUCAGCCCAUAAUUCUUAAGGAAGAUUUCCAGAAAAGCUUUUGUAUGUUUGGUUAGAGUUGCAUAUUUUGAUAAAGAUACGACUAAAUACGGAGCAACGUAAAGGAGUGCUUACCUGUAUGCUGUAACCAGAGCAACCACAAUACAAUUUAUCCCCAGCAACAGCAAGGCAUUUCACAUAUUUGUUGAAAUUGAUGAGCUUUGGAGGAUCUGACCAGUUAAAAACCUGUAAAUAUCAAAUUUUAUCAGUUUUAUCUUAAGAUGGAAAUAGAUUCCUUUAUGAAUAGUUCGGAAGCAUAUUAGACUUGCCUUAACUCCUGUUCCUUGAGUUACAUAGCAUGCCAAUUUAGCAUUAGCUGCUAGCUCAUACACUGCUUCCUUAACGUCAUAAACAUCUAUACAUUUAAUCCCGUCGGGUUUAAUUGUCCAAACCUGUACAUAAGAAGUAAUAUUCAAUGGUGCAUAUCAAGUAUUAUGAUUGAGUUAGAGGAUCAACAAAAGGAUGCAGGUAAUUUGGGAAGUUAACAUUGAAGGAAAGUUAAGGUAUCAAGUACUAUUUUUCACUUUCUUCUAUUGCCUUCAAUUGUUAUUAUUAUAGAGUACAUGGCAAACAAUAAGAAUGCAAAAUUAUUAUUUGACCAAUUUUUUUUUUCUGUGACAUAGCUUGAUGGUUUACCCGGAUUGUUUUGUCCAAGGAAGAACUGUAUAGUCUAUCAACUGAAGAACAAAGAGAUGUAACCGCUUUUUUGUGCUCACGAAUUUCUUGAGUUACUCGUGGUAUUCUCUUCCUUGCGUCCCAUACCUAGGAGGAAGUUUAAUUGUUAAAAAAUCUGACACACACACACAUACACACAAACGCACUUUCUGAUUUUUAGGAUACUCUACCUUGAUAGUUCCAUCAGCAUGUCCACUUAAGACCUGGCCAUUGAGGUAAAGCAAAGAAAGCACCUCUCCAUUUGAGCUCAAAUCUAACUCGACUACUUCUUUACAACUCCACAACUCUGUCUAUAGAAUGGAAAAUUGAAAUAGUUACUUUUCUUUACAAUUAUAUUAUGUGAAAUGAAGUAUGUCCUAAAUCACCAAUCAACUCACCACAUCAACAGAAUUUAAGUUUAGUAAGGCUUUCAAAAUAUCAGCUGCGACUGUUGAAUAUUUCUUCAGCUUCCUCAAGAUUCUGUAGAUGCUUUUAGCAUAGACUCUAAGUGCUUCAUGAGCAGCUGAAACAUUGCAGUUUCUAUUUAGUGUAGUAUACUUCUUUGUAUAAUAAAACACAGAAAAAUGUUUAAUAUAUAAAAAACCUACUUGGAUCACUAAUGAAAGACUUCAAAGCUAGGGUAGCCAGGAUCUUUUCCUCUAGGUUCUUGGAUGACUGGAUGACAUUUAUAAGGGCCUCGAGCAGGGAUUUCUGAGCAAUAUCUCUUACACCAGUAUCAGGUAGAGUAAAGAGCAUGUGUGUGAGCCAUGUGGCAAGAACAAGGCAAGAUUUUGCCAUCUUUAAGGAGUUACUCUUUAGGCAUUCUUCCAAAGCUUGAAAUAUUGAACCGUUUUCAUGAUUGCAAAGUACUGAGGCUACUCUUUUCUGCCAAGAUUUCAUGGCGUUCUUUUCAUUCUCCUAUGUAAGAAAAAUUUGUAUUAGUCUCAUGAGAAAAUCAAUUAUUAACCAUAUCCAACAAUCAAAAUGCCUUAUCCUCGAACCAUUGUUUCCAUCAAAUCUUUGUCAGAGUGUCCUAAUUGAUCGGCCUUCAUUAAAACAUUGUAAGGUUGAUCAAAUCCGGCAAUCUUCAGCAACCAAGCUUCAGUAUAUGACUUUCCUGAGGACGUUACAUGUCCAAUAAGAAAUAGUAAAGCAUCUAAAGCCUUCAUUUGAUUAUUUGAGAAGUCCUUUUGCCAAAGUGCUUCUAUCAGUGUCUCUACAGCUUCUUCCCUGUAAAUGCUCAUCUUUCGCGGCUCAACC